RNAcentral lists this small nucleolar RNA (134 nucleotides) under Carlito syrichta (Philippine tarsier). RNAcentral's name for it is "Small nucleolar RNA SNORA70 (ENSTSYG00000024119.2)". It matches the Rfam family "Small nucleolar RNA SNORA70". From Rfam's summary of the family: snoRNA U70 seems to be exclusive to mammals and is a member of the H/ACA class of snoRNA which contain H (ANANNA) and ACA box motifs. Lineage: Eukaryota; Metazoa; Chordata; Mammalia; Primates; Tarsiidae. The record is from Rfam by way of RNAcentral.
CUGCAGCUAAUUAAGCCCACAAUUCUCCUUCCCUCAUGGAAGUCUGUCUGUAGUGACUACAGGAAUCAGCCUCCUCAGUGGUCUAUGCAGCCAGUUGCUUGCAUGGGUAGCUCCAAGAGACCUUGAAGACAGCC